AGUGAACGCUGGCGGUAGGCCUAACACAUGCAAGUCGAACGGCAGCACAGAGGAACUUGCUCCUUGGGUGGCGAGUGGCGGACGGGUGAGGAAUACAUCGGAAUCUACUCUGUCGUGGGGGAUAACGUAGGGAAACUUACGCUAAUACCGCAUACGACCUACGGGUGAAAGCAGGGGAUCUUCGGACUUUGUGCGAUUGAAUGAGCCGAUGUCGGAUUAGCUAGUUGGCGGGGUAAAGGCCCACCAAGGCGACGAUCCGUAGCUGGUCUGAGGGGAUGAUCAGCCACACUGGAACUGGGACACGGUCCAGACUCCUACGGGAGGCAGCAGUGGGGAAUAUUGGACAAUGGGCGCAAGCCUGAUCCAGCCAUACCGCGUGGGUGAAGAAGGCCUUCGGGUUGUAAAGCCCUUUUGUUGGGAAAGAAAUCCAUCUGGUUAAUACCCGGGUGGGAUGACGGUACCCAAAGAAUAAGCACCGGCUAACUUCGUGCCAGCCGCCGCCGUAA
This 506-nucleotide ribosomal RNA is filed under the name uncultured bacterium. RNAcentral describes it as "partial 16S ribosomal RNA". It matches the Rfam family "Bacterial small subunit ribosomal RNA", at positions 29 to 523 of the family's 1533-position model. The record is from RNAcentral.